AUGAAUUGAGAGAUACUAAAAUGUAGAUUUUUGUUGUUGUUGUUUUGAGACAGAGUCUCACUGUGUCGCCCAGGGUGGAGUGCAGUGGCGCGAUCUCGGCUCAUUGCAGCCUCUGCCUCCUGGGUUUAAGUGAUUCUCAUGUCUCAGCUUCCCAAGUAGCUGGGAUUACAGGCAUUUACCAUCACACCGGGCUAAUUUUUGUAUUAUUAGUAGAGACGGGGUUUCACCAUGUUGGCCAUGCUGGUCUCGAACUCCUGACUUCAGGUGAUCCACCCGCCUUGGCCUCCCAAAGUGCUGGGAUCACAGGCGUGAGCCACCACACCCAGCCUAGAUAUUCUUUGAUGCUAAAAUUCUGUUAACAGAAAUGUAUCCUAGGAAGAUAAUAGAGUACGAGAAAAAAAAACCCCAGAGAUGCAGAUUGAGUUUUUUACAUAAAGAGGUUCAUGUUAUGCUAUUUAGAAUAACAACAAUUUGAAAGUAAAUCUAAUGCCCCAAAUUAAUGAGUAGUGGCACGACGUGUGACACCUCUGAUUUAGCGAGGAUUAGAUUCACUCUUGAGUAAUAGAGCACCCAAAAUUACAGCAACAUUAUGAAACACAAACUUCACACACAUUCCAGAGAUAGGCUGUCCAAGGCUAGCGUGGUGCCUCCAUAAUUAUCAAGGACUCAGGAGACGUCUAUCCAGUUCUGCUGUCCUCAGUGAGUGGCUUUUACCCCACACUCCAAUAUGGCGGCUUGAGUCUUGCCAUUAUGUCUGCAUUUGAGCUGUCAUGAGGUGGAAGAAGCAAAAAAGAGUACCACUCUCCCUUUAUGAAAUCGCACCUAACGCUUCCACUUACUUUCCAUUGGUUGGACAUUAGUCACAUAGGUACACCUAGCUGUAAGAGAUGCCAGGAAAGACGAUAAGACAAUAAAGAAACACCUUUCUUUUUCUUCUUCUUUUUUUUUUUUUUUUUGAGACAGGUUCUCGCUUUGUCGUCCAGGCUGGAGUGAGAUGAUACAAUCAUGACUCACUGCAGCCUCCACCUCCUGGGCUCAAGUGAUCCUGCCACCUUAGCCUCCCAAAGUGCUGGGAUUACAGGCAUGAGCCACCGCACCCAACCUAGACAGCUGACGCUGACCCAGAGCCCCAAGAGGUCAGGUCUCUGGCACCUUACAGCAUUGGGGUUUCGGUCCAUUUUUGUACCACAAAUAGGUCUAAAAUGAUUUUGAGUGUGACUGUGUCUUUUAUUUUCUGAUAGACGGGGUGCUUUUAAAUUUUCCCUUUUAGAGGCAGAGCAAUUCUCCUUACAGGCACUUGCCACCAUGCCUGGCUAAGUUUUAUAUUUUUAGUAGAGACGGGGUUUCACCAUGUUGACCAGACUGGUCUCGAACUCCUGACCUCCUGAUCUGCCCAUCUUGGACUCCCAAAGUGCUGGGAUUACAGGCGUGAGCCACUGCGCCUGGCCGUCAUAAGGAUUAAUUAGGAUAUUGCCUAUAAUUGCCUGGCCCAGGAGAGGUGAGAUGUGCAUGUCUUCCUCCCCAGUCCUCACCGUGGCUGCUUGGUCACUGGCUUGCCUGCUUGGUUUCUCUUUGAGGCUCCUCUGAGUAGGAUUGGCCAGCAUCCAUGGGCCACUCCCUUCCUGAAUGUACUGGGACCCAGUCUGCAAUGAAGUCAUUGUUUGAAGCAUCUGCUCUUUGUUUGGUAAAUCUUCCCACAGGGGGCUGGAAGCCCACAGCUCCCCUCUGCCAGGCCUCGGCUGGAGGCAGGGUCCACAGUCUUGCCUUGGCAUCCUUGUGAUUUAUGUCCAUGUGGGUCUCGCCAGGCGGAGGGAUAAGGGUCAUAGGAUAUCGGCUAUUCCACAGACCAAGGCAAGUCGCUUUCUAUCUGCUCAGUCGUAAGGAAGGCAAGUCAUUGGGGAUCUCUGCACAUAGACAAGAUGAGGGAAUGUUUCUCCCAGAACAAAGGAAAGAAGGGGAGGCACUUGAGAGAAAAUCAGAGCAAUAAGAUGUCAAGGAAACUGUAGACUCAGAGCCAAGAGAUGCCACCAAGCGCUCCUGCCCCAGAGCUCAGCCAGGCCAGGCCACGUGGAGACGGCUCCUGCAAAGCUGCAGAGGGGCUAAGACCAGGAUGUGGAAAGGGAACAGGAAUUAGAUGAGGUUGAAGCAGCUGGAGCUUAGCAAGUACUUAACUGAGAGCUGGAUGUUUCUGCUUAUUUCUACUUUUAUGUUAUUUAUUUUUUUUAGAGUCCACGUCCUGCUGAAAGUGCUUAUUUUUAUAAUGUGCUCUCGUAGAAGAUUCUCCAUAACUGGCCUUGAUGGUGUGAACCAUGGCUCUUCUGGGAUACCCUGGGUGCUUUUAAACAACAGCUGCCAAAGAAACCCCACUCCAAACCAACCAAAUCAGUCUCUGAGGACCGGGGGUGGGGUGGUGGUUCUCAAAGUUGGACCCGGGGACCAGCAGCAUCAGCAUCACCAGGGCACCUGUUAAAGUGCAAACUCUCAGGCCCCACCCUGACAACAGAAUCCAAAGCUGUUAGGGUGGGGUCCAGAGAUCUGUGUUUUAACAAGGCCUUCAGGAGCAGGGCGUCGCAUACCCAGGAAAGUGUGAGAACUAGUGGGAGAUUUUAACUUGUGUCCGGUGCUGAAAACCACUGGGUUUGUUUAGUAUUGAGUUUGGGGACUCUUUCUUCCCUGUAGAGGGCCAGAGUUCAGAAUGAGGAAAGCUGGUCUCUCUCUACUCCCUGUAGGGGAAUGGGUAUAAUGACUUUACCAUUCAUUGAAUCUCUUCUACAUACAUAAGUGAGAAUAAGGAAAAUCGAUCGCCACAAUUAAUGUCCCUGACCACUGUUCUAUCUCCAACACCAGUAACAGAAGAGAUCCACCCCACCCCCGCGCAGGGCAGCCUUGCUAACUCUCCUGAAAUGCUGAGACGUCCAGGACCCCGUCCCAUAGCUGCGUCAUGGCUAGCUUCUCUUAAACCAAGUUCACACCCUGCAAACACAAAGCCUUUUUCUUAGGUUUUGGCACCUCCUUCGCAACCCUGAUCCUGAAGGAAUUAAUUUCUCAUUUGGAGUAGUGGAGUUGUUGUGGGAAGUGGGUGGAGUGGGAACUUCUAGGAAUCACAACUUCUUUCAUGCACUUCUUUCUCUCAUUUUCAACCUGAUGCUCCCGUCAGCCCUUCCGACAUGCUCGUCAGCCACAGUCACUCUGCUUUGUCUGGGGUCAUGAGACAUCCGCAGGCAGAGGGGCUACAGUAUCCCUACAGGCCAGACCAACAGGAGGAGGGACUCUAGCUGAAGCUCCAUGACCCUUCUGCCCUCCAGUCUGGGAGGAGGGGGCGUGUGUAUGUGUGCGCGCGUGCGCGUGUGUGUGUAACAACUACAAGGUGUCCCAAAUCCUGUUCUCCCAUAUCUGGAAAAUCUGUGACCUACAUAAAGCCAGUUCCUGCCUAGUGAGGAACAACAGGAAAGGAUAGAAACCAAGGGCAGGUGGUCGCUUCUGGAGGCUGCUGCUGGCUUCAAUGGGCAUGCCUCUGUCUGGCCCAUAAUCUUGAUUUCUGAACACAUGGGUCUCAGCUCACCUGCCAGAUGCGCCCCGGUUCCCACUUGGUUAUUCACCAUCCUCCUCUUUCCUGUCUGUCUCUUUGCCUCUAUGGGUCCUUGCUGGCAACCCCACAGGGUUUCUCCUUGGCUUCUUCUAAGUCUGCUGGGCAAAGGAAGAUGUCUUGGAUUUAUUAAAUCAGCCCCAUAUUGGGGCCAGAUGUUCCACAGCAAAUGAGGUGGUCAGGACUGAAGUCAAGAAACUAAGUGAGGAAACAAGGAGGCCCCAGUGAUGAACGAUGGUCUCUCCUCAGCCCUUACUGAAAAAUCUCCUUUCUGUCCUAUUUUGCUCUCGGUAUGAGCUCUGCUCUUCCUCUCCUCCCAAAUCAAACAUUUGGUGAUGCAUUUCUGCAAACUUCCACGUCUCGCUCUGGGGCCAGGAGACUGGUGUUUGCUGGGCUGUUUCUUCCAAGCCUUCUCUGCAGAAAAGGGCACGGAGGAGAAAACACGGGAGUUCUGGCAAGUGUGGGCUGAAGGCCUCACAGUAAGUCUGAGAGCGAGCGCCAACCUGGCAGGGAAGAGCUGGUGGGGACAGCUCUCGGGGACUCUGGGUGGCCAGAGGAUAUGGGCAGAGGCCAAGGCUUCUCACCUUCCUAAUUGCAAAGGUUAUAUUAAUAAUUAUAACAGUAAUUAGUCAUGGUGAUAACAGUAACAGUAAUGGAUAACUGUGGGGUACUGUGCCAGGGGGAGCACACGGGUUGUAUCAUCUCACUUAGAGCCUUCCAACACCCACCCAGCCAGCGUCUUGGCUUUAUUAUUAUUCUCUCCAUCUUGUACCUGAAGACUGCGGCUCAGAGAGGUCUCAGCUAACCCAUGAUGGAAUUGGGAUUUGAACUCAGGCAGCCUAACUCUGAAGCCCAAGCUCUUAACUGCUAUGUGAUGACACAAGGAAUACGUGUUUGUUAAAGAAAUUGUUAACAAUUCAGAUAAAGAGAGGGAAAACCAUAAAAUACUCACCAUCUACUGUCAACACUUUGGUUUCUUUCUUUUUUUUUUUUUUUUGAGACAGAACCUCGC
This 4598-nucleotide long non-coding RNA is filed under the name Homo sapiens (human). RNAcentral's name for it is "HSALNT0164192". The record is from RNAcentral. Lineage: Eukaryota; Metazoa; Chordata; Mammalia; Primates; Hominidae.